Bubalus bubalis (water buffalo) is the source of this 1275-nucleotide long non-coding RNA. RefSeq lists it as uncharacterized. NCBI's taxonomy places the organism in Eukaryota, Metazoa, Chordata, Mammalia, Artiodactyla, Bovidae. The transcript has 3 exons. The record is from RefSeq and is a predicted model, not a curated record.
GACUUGUCCUUCCAUAGCUGCCUUGGGUCUGUGACACACAUUUAGAAAGGGGGUCUGUGUGCAAUCUGUGCUCACAACACUGAGAAAAACUAAUUGCGUCCAAUUUAAUUCCCCAGCUUCCAAGAAAUUAAUGGUGCAUUUGACUUCAAUGCCAUCUAAUUCCCAGCUCCAGUUCCACUUUCAACGGCCUCAACAUGUAAUAAAUAACAUAACUUAUUCUCAUAAGCUUUCCAAAGUCCCGUGAAGUAGUCCUUUUUUCAUUUAGCUUAGACUCCUCAAAAUACAAGUCAGUAUAUAUUUGAGUAUACCUUUUUUAUAAGACACUGGAAGGAAAGAGUAAGCUUUGAGUGUUGGCUUGAGAAAUUUUAAAAGUUAGUUUCCCACAAUAGAUGCCUGGUCUUUGCUCCUGUUAGAUUAAUAAUUCACUUGUUUAAGCCAGAUUACAAAUAGGUUCAGUAACAGAUAUUUUCUAAAAAAUGAGACACAGCUAAGGAAAUCCUCUUCUCCAAAAUUUACUUGUCUUAUUCUCAGUAUCUCAGGAAAACAAAGACAGAAACCAGGUAUCCUUUCAGAAAGAGCAGAUUUAAAGUCAUGUGUAAAUUAUCUUUUUUUUUUUUUUCUUUUUCUGGCUGCAAAUAAGUUUAUUGUUUUCAUUUGGUGCAAGGCUUGGGAGAGGGCUCCAGGGUGGUUAAAAAGCUACCUAGUGGCUGCAGGGAGGGGCUUCAGGCUGCAGCCCUGACACCAGGGGGACUUCUCAAAGACUGCUGGGCUCCGGAAGCUCCUGGUGAACCUUUCAAAGAGAGAUUCGCCCAGCCCAUCCAGGGGACCAGCCAGCCUGCGGAGAGAGUCUUACCUGCUGAGACAAAGAUCCAACCUGUCCUUCUGGCUCAACUGAUAAAAAUACAUACAAGGUGAAGGAAAUAAAGCCAAAGGGAAGAAGCAAUUUACUCAGUAACAUAAAGUUGACCAGUGGCAGAGUCAGGAUAAAAGACCAGAAUUUCUAAGUCCUUAGUGAUUGUUCUUUCUACCAUACUCUUCUUUGUAUUCUGUCAUUUUCACUGUUGAUUGAUCAGCAGUGAACUGUAAUCAUCUCCAUCCCUAGAACUUUGUCCAUGUGACUUCAUGCCUGCAAGGUCUCUAAUAGAGCAACUGCUUAAACUAGCCUCAACAGCUUUAAUCCACAUCCACUUAUCUAUCUGAGUUCCCACAGUACUUAUUGCCUGUACCACAUAUUUAGAAUUUUAAUGCAAAUAAAUAUGGAUUAUUUUGCAAUAA